This is an RNA transcript of Corvus hawaiiensis (hawaiian crow), 3926 nucleotides long. It is a transcript of the gene named erythrocyte membrane protein band 4.1 like 2, with no coding region annotated. The transcript has 15 exons. NCBI's taxonomy places the organism in Eukaryota, Metazoa, Chordata, Aves, Passeriformes, Corvidae. The record is from RefSeq and is a predicted model, not a curated record.
AUUAUAUUUGUUCAUAUGUACUCUGUGUCAGUUGUGAUAAUGACAACUGAAGUUGGUUCAGAGACCGAAGUAAAGAAAGAUUCUGAGCAGCUGGGACCAGACAAAGCCAAGGACAAGCCUGAAGAAGCAUCAGAGACUCCAGGAGAUCAGAAGUCCAGGGAAACAUCCUCUGGAGAAGCUCAAGAUUCUUCUGUCCCAGCACCAACUAGCCAAAGUAGUCCAAGUAGACAGAAGAAGGAAAAAUCUUCACCUGAAAGCAAGGGUAUUUCUCGUUUCAUUCCCCCAUGGCUUAAGAAACAAAAGUCAUACACCUUGGCAGAGGCCAAAGAUGAGCCCAAGAAAAGGGCCACAGGGGAAGAGCAAGUAGUUGAAGAAAGUGAAAGCCAGACACCAGAGGGGGUGGCUCAGUCAAGAAAGAGCUUGGAAGGAGCAGCUGAAAACCGGCAGAAUGCUAAAGCAGAUGACAAGGAAAAACACUCUGUUAGUAGUGCUGAAAUACAGCCUCCCAAAGAAGAUGGUAAAGAAACAGAAGUAGAGGAAGAUGCAGAGAAAAAGGAAGAAAAACAAGAAGAAAAAGAAAAAAGGGAGACAAAAGAAGUGCAGACAGCUGAAAUUAAAACAGAUAACAUUCCUCAGAAGUCUCCAAAGAAAAUCAAAACUGUGCAGUGUAAGGUGAUGCUUCUGGAUGGCACAGAAUACAGCUGUGACCUAGAGAAAAGAGCAAAAGGACAAGUGCUGUUUGAUAAAGUAUGUGAACAUCUCAAUUUACUGGAAAAGGACUAUUUUGGGCUGUUAUUUUAUGAGAAUUCAGAACAGAAGAAUUGGCUAGAUUCUUCGAAGGAAAUUAAGAGACAAAUUCGAAGUUUACCCUGGAUAUUCACCUUUAAUGUGAAGUUUUAUCCCCCUGAUCCAUCACAGUUGACUGAAGACAUCACUAGGUAUUUCUUGUGCCUACAGCUUCGUCAGGAUAUUGCAUCUGGCCGACUGCCGUGUUCUUUUGUGACUCACGCCCUCCUUGGUUCCUAUACUCUGCAGGCUGAGCUGGGUGAUCAUGACCCAGAGGAGCACCACAGUGAUUAUAUCAGUGAAUUCCAAUUUGCACCCAAUCAGACUCAAGAAAUGGAAGAGAAAGUGGCUGAGCUACACAAAACACACAGGGGCUUGACUCCAGCACAGGCGGAUUCCCAGUUCCUAGAAAAUGCUAAGAGACUCUCCAUGUAUGGAGUGGAUUUACAUCAUGCCAAGGAUUCUGAAGGUGUGGAUAUCAUGCUGGGUGUAUGUGCUAACGGUCUGCUGAUUUACAAAGACAGACUCCGGAUCAACCGCUUCGCUUGGCCAAAAAUUCUGAAGAUUUCCUACAAGCGAAGUAAUUUCUACAUCAAAGUCAGGCCAGCAGAACUGGAACAGUUUGAGAGCACUAUUGGGUUCAAACUGCCAAACCAUCGGGCUGCUAAAAGGUUAUGGAAGGUUUGUGUGGAGCACCAUACUUUCUUCAGACUUGUAUCACCAGAACAGCCCCCAAAAGCGAAGUUUCUGACCUUGGGUUCCAAGUUCCGCUACAGCGGCCGUACGCAAGCGCAGACACGACAGGCCAGCAACCUCAUAGACAGACCAGCUCCAUACUUCGAGCGCACUUCCAGCAAACGUGUUUCCAGAAGCCUUGAUGGAGCUCCCAUGGGUAUUUCAGACCAAAGUCUUCUAAGAGACUUCUCUGCUACUGCAGGGCAGGCUGCCAGAGAUAAAAUCAUUGAUCUUGAAGCUGCUGGUCAGGCCAAGUUAAAAGAAGGUGGCAGAGAAGAAGAUGAAAGCCCACUCAAAACUCCACAAUUAGAAUUGACUCAGGAUGGAAAGCCUAAGGUGACUUCCUUUAGUAGCUCUAAUGGCAAUGACCUGAAUGACAAAGCAGAGGAAGAGGAGGUGUGUAAUUUUGCUGCUUAAAUGUUGACACUUGCACAUUGCAUUUAUGCUUUUUCUCACGAGGCUUGCUCAGUUUUGCACACUUCCUAGUUAGAGAUGUAUCUGUGUACAUGCCUGUAAAUAUAUAUAUAUAAAUACACAAAUGCAUAUGUAUCUUUUUAGCAUUUCUCAUUUGUGAAAAAUUGCCAUUGUGGGACUCUUAGUCAAUAGAUAGCUCAUGGUUUUUCUGCCUAAUUUCCUACAGCAUGCAUAAUUUCAUUGUAUUCCACAGAUACUGAGCUGCAGGUGGACUUGCAUUGUAGUUUAAAAUGUUAACGAGCACAUAAAUCUGAAUACUGAAAGUGCUCUGUGUAACAAUAGAUGUUAUUUGAUACUAUUUGCAAGUUCUAUUUGCACUGUCAAUUGGUCUUAAAAUGCCUGUCUCCUGCAUGCAUUGACUGGAAUGCACAUGUGUGAAGUUCUGUUUAGAACUGAAAAAUGAAAUUCCUAAAAGCUGAAUUCAGAAAACUGCGAAUACUUUAAAAUCAGCGUUUUGUUAUUCCAGAUUUCAGAUGUUUCAGCUCUCCAAGGGUGUGUGCAAAGUUGAGUCUGUCCAAGGCACUUUUUCUUUUUUCACAUGCUUUGAUUAAUCUCUAGCAGCAGUUGAGACUGAUUUCAUUCAUUAGCUGGGAUUGCAGGCUGUGUCAGGCUGUAUCACUGGUCUGAACGUUCUUUGGAAUACACUGCUAAAAUUGCUGUUCAGAAGCCUCAGUCACACUAGUAUGUUGCUCUGAUCAUCUGGAGUGGCUGACAAAAUGCCUCCUUUCCUUAUGUCUGCUGCAUGUACUACAGCAAUACCACUAGAAAAAGGUCUUCUAUUUUGAUCCUCAAAGAAAAUAUUAAACCAAUUAUUAUAGAAUCAAAAAGGAGGAGGAUCUGUUUAAUGUUACAUUUAACAAAGUUUGCUAAACCAAUGUACAUAUUAAAGACAUGCUAAAUAUGACACGAUGUCAUUAUAAUGCCAGUCUAAGUAUAAAAUAACAAAAAACAUGACACUAAGAUUUUCUCAAUUUUUCUGUAGCCUAAUUCAAUCCAUAAUUUGUAACAUACUUACAUAAAAUAGAACCCCAGAUAAGUCAGGAAUUAAUGAAAAUGAGAUAUGUACUACAUCAUAUGUGCAUUCACACAGAAUUCAAAAUGUAACAGUAUGAAUAGUAAAUCCCUCUUCAAAUUUAUGAACUUGCAGUGUGUUGACUUGUAAAUGCAUCUUUUCCUAAGAUUACCAGUUGAUAUUUGUACUUGUGGAAAGACAACUGGGAAGUGGUUCACUUUUUAAAGAAUGCUGUUCCUAAAGGCAUUCAGAAUACUUGGAGAUAAGAUAUGAAGAUUAGUUACUAUUUCCAACAGAAUGCAUUGCAGUUUAAGAAUAAAUAUAUUCACCUAAAAAGAGGGGGGGGGUGGGGGGGCGGGGGGUGUGUGCAAAUAGUUCAUCCCAAGACAACAACAUUCCUAAAAUUUAAGACAGUUGGUAAAUACAGUGUUUAAGUGUUUGACUUGAACCCUAGACUCUUUUCCCAAAAGAACUCCUGGAUUAGAUUCCAUUUUCUCAUCAACUCGUUGCAGGAUUUAAGUCACUUACCAUAGAAAUUAUGCAUAUCAUUUUUCUUCGUUACUCAUUCUUAAAUUUUCACCUGGGAAACAAUAAAAAGCAGAGCAAGAAAGAGACACAGUGUGAAACUUCCAUUUUUCAUGCCACUUAUGCCAAAAAUUACUUCAGCCAUUCUACAACAAUGUAGGUGCAAGAAGACCCAAGUCGCUUAAUUUCGACAUCUGGGGCCGAAAAAGUAAAGGUGGAAUGCGAAGAGGAGGAAGCACAGCAGAAGGACCUGGAUAAGACCCAGGACGACUUACUGAAACACCAGGCUAGCAUUAGUGAGCUCAAGCGCAAUUUCAUGGAAUCCACACCCGAACCACGCCCAAAUGAGUGGGAAAAGCGGCGUAUCACACCUCUGUCCCUACAGACACAAGGG